Molecule: long non-coding RNA, 1201 nt
Organism: Homo sapiens (human)
Lineage: Eukaryota; Metazoa; Chordata; Mammalia; Primates; Hominidae
Gene: SLC66A1L
Product: solute carrier family 66 member 1 like (pseudogene)
Source: Ensembl
GCUGCUUCCUGGGAGGUGGUGCUCGCAAACCUGGCAGCUGACUGGGUGGGGCGUGCCUUCCCUGGCAGUCGCGGAGGGGAAGGCUGAGGGACCCGGUCCCCGCCCCGCGUGCUCAGGCUGAACAGCUUUUCUUCCCUGAUCUCUCGGAGGCGCCGGCUGCUGGCCAACGCAGGGCAGCCUCCUGCGUGCGUGCUGUGGGUUUCUCCUUCAGUUUCCUCUCAUUGCCUGAGGUUGGGCCCGAACACGGCGGUACAUUUCCUUGAGAGUCUUCUACAUUCAUGCUGUAGAAGCUAUGAAAGUCGUGGGAAACUAUAGAGUCAACACUGCAAACUCAAGCACUGAUACGUCCGGAGAGCACUUGACCUGCCUUAGAAGUCAGCUCUUUGUAGCCUACAGAAAUGGAAGAGUGGAUGAAGCAGUCUCUCUGGGUUUUCUGGAUUGCUGGAUAGGUGGAGACCUGACAAAUUUCAAAGGCUGCUACCUGACUAACCAACUGCCUAUUCAGAUUUUUACAGCCAUCUUCGACAUGAACACGGAUGUAAUCAUACUCUCACAAUUCAUGUACUACAGGUUAAAGAAUCAGAAGAAAAAAAUUUCUGAAGAAGAUCUACGGAAGGAACUUCAUUUCUGCUGUUUGCAUUGGCCAUGAUUGGGAACUUCACGUAUGGACUUGGUGUGGUUUUAAAGGCACCAGCUGCUACGUGUCACAAGAAUACUUACUUUGUGCAUCAUCUUCCUUGGCUUAUUGCAAGUUUUGGAAUCUUAUUCCUUAACUCUUUUGUGUCUUUUGCCAUCAGAUUGCCAUUAGAGAAUAAACAUGUAUAGCUACUUAAUAUAUCACCCAAAAAGUACAUAUAUAUAUAUAUAUAUAUAUUCUAAGAAGUGUAAAUAGCUAAUGCUAUAGUCAUUUCAUUAUUAUAUUUGAAAUGUUCAUUUAUAAGGAAAGUCUUCUCUCUCCCAAAGUCUCCUAAUUAUUAUUAUUCUAGCAAACGAUCAAAUUCAGAUGAAGAUUUCUUGGUUUCUUUGGUUCUUCUGAUAAAAAAAAAAAAGUGGGGCCAAGUUUAGAAGCAUUGAAAUUAACACAUCUUAGAUAUUAAAUUUUAUUAAAAUUAUAAUAGCAGAUAUUAAGAAAAAACCAUACCAUCUCUGAAAAUCUCUACAGAGAACACUUUGAAUUAAUAAAUGAUAACUGAUGCCUUGC